GACAGCAGCCGCCGCGGUAAUACAGAGGGUGCGAGCGUUAAUCGGAUUUACUGGGCGUAAAGCGUGCGUAGGCGGCUUCUUAAGUCGGAUGUGAAAUCCCUGAGCUUAACUUAGGAAUUGCAUUCGAUACUGGGAAGCUAGAGUAUGGGAGAGGAUGGUAGAAUUCCAGGUGUAGCGGUGAAAUGCGUAGAGAUCUGGAGGAAUACCGAUGGCGAAGGCAGCCAUCUGGCCUAAUACUGACGCUGAGGUACGAAAGCAUGGGGAGCAAACAGGAUUAGAUACCCGCGUAGUCCCUGUCUCUUAUAC
This 306-nucleotide ribosomal RNA is filed under the name uncultured bacterium. RNAcentral's name for it is "partial 16S ribosomal RNA". It matches the Rfam family "Bacterial small subunit ribosomal RNA", at positions 507 to 807 of the family's 1533-position model. The record is from RNAcentral.